GCUGUAGUAAUUUAAUUUAAAAUAUUGAUUUGUGGUAUCAAUUAUGUAUACAUAUAUAUCUAUGGUU
This 67-nucleotide transfer RNA is filed under the name Pseudoglomeris magnifica. RNAcentral describes it as "tRNA-His". Lineage: Eukaryota; Metazoa; Arthropoda; Insecta; Blattodea; Blaberidae. The record is from RNAcentral.